AAACGAUGAUUACUAGGAGUUUGCGAUAUAGUGUAAGCUCUACAGCGAAAGCGUUAAGUAAUCCACCUGGGGAGUACGCCGGCAACGGUGAAACUCAAAGGAAUUGACGGGGGCCCGCACAAGCGGAGGAACAUGUGGUUUAAUUCGAUGAUACGCGAGGAACCUUACCCGGGAUUGAAAUGUAGACGACGGAGAGUGAGAGCUUUCUUCCCUUCGGGGCGUCUAUGUAGGUGCUGCAUGGUUGUCGUCAGCUCGUGCCGUGAGGUGUCGGCUUAAGUGCCAUAACGAGCGCAACCCUGACUGUCAGUUGCUAACAGGUAAAGCUGAGGACUCUGGCGGGACUGCCGGCGUAAGCUGUGAGGAAGGUUGGGAUGACGUCAAAUCAGCACGGCCCUUACAUCCGGGGCGACACACGUGUUACAAUGGCAGGGACAAAGGGCAGCUACCGGGCGACCGGAUGCCAAUCUCCAAACCCUGUCUCAGUUCGGAUCGGAGUCUGCAACUCGACUCCGUGAAGCUGGAUUCGCUAGUAAUCGAGCAUCAGCCAUGGCGCGGUGAAUACGUUCCCGGGCCUUGUACCCUCCACCCGUCAAGCCAUGGGAGCCGGGGGUACCUGAAGUCCGUAACCGCGAGGAUCGCCUAAGGUAAAACCUGUGGGGCA
This 661-nucleotide ribosomal RNA is filed under the name uncultured bacterium. Its description in RNAcentral is "bacterial SSU rRNA". It matches the Rfam family "Bacterial small subunit ribosomal RNA", at positions 804 to 1477 of the family's 1533-position model. The record is from RNAcentral.